Molecule: long non-coding RNA, 2032 nt
Filed under: Equus asinus (donkey)
Lineage: Eukaryota; Metazoa; Chordata; Mammalia; Perissodactyla; Equidae
Description: lncRNA (ENSEASG00005023896.1)
Source: RNAcentral
UGUGAAUCACUCUCCUCCCUGUUCUUCAAAUAUUUUAAACAUGAUCAUGAAGUAAUCAGAGCCAGUGUUGGGAUUCUGUUCUGUCCCUUUGAGCCAUCCCUUCAGUGGAAUUUCUUUGGAGCUUUUCCUUCUGACACCCAGCCUACUACUGUCCUGGUGGCCCCAGGACCUCCUCAUGCAGUGGGUCUUCUCCGGACUGUGCUCCACACCAACUGACCACCCCAUCCUCUCCUCAGUGUAGCUAGAAUUUGGGCUCUGCUCCUCACUGGGAUGUGACCUGCUCUGGAAUAUGGGAGCAAUAAUAAUUUAUUGUGAGGAUUUAAAAAAUAUAUAAUGCAUUGAAUGUGCUCAAUUCUGGGGAACAUAGUAUGUAUUUAAUAAAUGCCAAAGUGAUCAGUUUUUCUCUUUCCCUUAAUCUGAACCUAUGUUGUCUGUUCUGGUCACAUUUCCUGAAAGACAUUCAUUCAGUUAGACAUUUUUUACUAGCAUAAUUUAAUUAAUUCUUGAUGAUAGAAUUUCAAGUUUAACAGGGUUCUUCUGGAAAUACCAUCAGAAUCUACAGUUGACUCUAAUAGGACUGCAGUGUGUAUAUUGGCCAGUGCAAGUAAUCCUACACUUGUAUUGAUCAGCAGCGAUGGCUCAUAAUCUAUGAAGACAGCAUGUCGCUGAGAUAAUCCUGUGGAGGCCGACUCACGGCUCUGUGGGCUAGAAUGUCACACCAGGCUUUUCCGUGUGAUUCUGUAAGCGAUUCUGGGCUACUCAUUCCCGUUCUCGUGCUUUGUGGUGGCAGUGGGCAACAAGGAACCUGCGCAAUCACCUAGUGAUGAAGUCUCAUUCAUCAUUUUAUUUUCUUAUUGGGAAUAAUUUAGCGGACAUUAAUUGAGUACCUACUGCACCAAGCAUUGUGCUCAGUAGAUAUAAAGAAUAAAACAUUGUUUCUAGCAUUAAGGAGCUUACAGUACAGUAAAUUUGCCACCCAUCUGAACUUAGAAAUCCUGCCACCGAUGGCUGUGUUUGAGAUUUUGAAAAAGAGAAGCUGAAACUGUGGGAGUCAUUAAAACCUGGUUGUUGUAACAAAGCUGGGAAAAGGAUCUCAUACGGCCACUGGGCUGAUCUCCACCGCUUGACAACCUUGUAAAAUAUGAUUGCAUCAUUUCAGGGUGAGGAGUAAUGCGGAUUACUGGCUAAUUUUGGCUCACUGUGCUGUGUUAUCAAGUGCACUUCCUGAGAGUCCUGGAUUUCCUGGUUUAAGUGUGGCUGAUGACGUACUUGUAACCAAGGGACUCGGCCCAGCCCAAGUGCUUCUGACUAAGAGGAGCAUGCCAAGUAAAUAAGCACUUCGCUGUGCCAUGCCUGAGAGAAGGAAUGCAAAGAUUAAUUCACUGGCCCUAAUAUCUUUAAUCCAAUGAUUCACAAACAAACACCACCAUUUGGAUUCCAGUAACUGUAAUAGUAUAACAGUCGCUGACUUUUAUUAGUGUGUAAUUAACCCUGUAGUGUGUCAAGAUGACAGCUGUAAUUUUCUGUUCACUCAGAGAUAUCCAUAGACCUCAGUAUUCUAACUAGUCAUGCGAUAUCCUUUCAGUACUUUGAUGGUUAAUGUCAACAUUUGUGAACAUGUUGACAGCUAACAGUGAGAGGUCUAUUUAUUACAUUUCACAAAGUAUGCAUAUGUUUAAUCUUCAACUGGUUUUGAGUUCAGAGGCAAAGCUGGAGUGUGGGAUUUGGAGAUGGGAAUGGAGGGGUGAGGGGAGAGGUGGGUAGUCUACCAAGCCAGUACUCCCAGAUUCAAGACCCUUUCAGCUGGCCUGCAUGGCUGUCCUUCCAAAGAUGAUUUGAAUUGACACACCAUGCUUCUUUAGCUGAGGCCUGACCCAGUUACCUCUCUCCAUUGCAGCUCCUUGCUAUUCCAGGGCUGUCAGUUCCUGAGCUCUCCAGAGCAUUGUUGCUGCUGCAACUUCAUCACUGUCAUGGAACUGCCAUGCCCACACUGAUGCCAGCUCCAAGCCACUGCUAGAAUAUGGAAUGCUAU